This 481-nucleotide ribosomal RNA is filed under the name uncultured bacterium. RNAcentral describes it as "partial 16S ribosomal RNA". It matches the Rfam family "Bacterial small subunit ribosomal RNA", at positions 28 to 507 of the family's 1533-position model. The record is from RNAcentral.
GAUGAACGCUGGCGGCGUGCUUAACACAUGCAAGUCGAACGAAGCACUUUAUUUGAUUUCCUUCGGGACUGAUUAUUUUGUGACUGAGUGGCGGACGGGUGAGUAACGCGUGGGUAACCUGCCUUGUACAGGGGGAUAACAGUUGGAAACGGCUGCUAAUACCGCAUAAGCGCACAGCAUCGCAUGAUGCAGUGUGAAAAACUCCGGUGGUAUAAGAUGGACCCGCGUUGGAUUAGCUAGUUGGUGAGGUAACGGCCCACCAAGGCGACGAUCCAUAGCCGACCUGAGAGGGUGACCGGCCACAUUGGGACUGAGACACGGCCCAAACUCCUACGGGAGGCAGCAGUGGGGAAUAUUGCACAAUGGGCGAAAGCCUGAUGCAGCAACGCCGCGUGAGCGAAGAAGUAUUUCGGUAUGUAAAGCUCUAUCAGCAGGGAAGAUAAUGACGGUACCUGACUAAGAAGCACCGGCUAAAUACGUG